Molecule: ribosomal RNA, 484 nt
Filed under: uncultured bacterium
Lineage: Bacteria
Description: partial 16S ribosomal RNA
Rfam family: Bacterial small subunit ribosomal RNA
Source: RNAcentral
AUUGAACGCUGGCGGCAUGCUUUACACAUGCAAGUCGAACGGCAGCGCGGGCUUCGGCCUGGCGGCGAGUGGCGAACGGGUGAGUAAUGCAUCGGAACGUGCCCAGUAGUGGGGGAUAGCCCGGCGAAAGCCGGAUUAAUACCGCAUACGACCUGAGGGUGAAAGCGGGGGACCGAAAGGCCUCGCGCUAUUUGAGCGGCCGAUGUCGGAUUAGCUAGUUGGUGGGGUAAAGGCUUACCAAGGCGACGAACCGUAGCUGGUCUGAGAGGACGACCAGCCACACUGGGACUGAGACACGGCCCAGACUCCUACGGGAGGCAGCAGUGGGGAAUUUUGGACAAUGGGGGCAACCCUGAUCCAGCCAUGCCGCGUGCGGGAAGAAGGCCUUCGGGUUGUAAACCGCUUUUGUUCGGGAAGAAAUCCUCUGGGCUAAUACCCCGGGGGGAUGACGGUACCGGAAGAAUAAGCACCGGCUAACUACGUG